This 22-nucleotide microRNA is filed under the name Glycine max (soybean). RNAcentral describes it as "gma-miR4354". Lineage: Eukaryota; Viridiplantae; Streptophyta; Magnoliopsida; Fabales; Fabaceae. The record is from miRBase by way of RNAcentral.
CAAUUGGAUCGGUCCAACCGGC